Molecule: long non-coding RNA, 306 nt
Filed under: Hordeum vulgare
Lineage: Eukaryota; Viridiplantae; Streptophyta; Magnoliopsida; Poales; Poaceae
Description: long non-coding RNA (HVUL_LNC009866)
Source: RNAcentral
AAUUCAACUAUGCAAGCACUAAAAAGAAAAUUGCAAAGGCUCAGACUGGCUUGGACAAAGGAUGACUAGAUCUAACUAUUUUUCUGGUUUUUUCUAGGGUAAUAGGUAAGAAAAAUAAAUAUAAUCUAGGGAUAACUGGAAAUUCUCACCAAACAACCUGAAAACUGAUACCACUUGAUAGAGCACUUGAUGUAGGCGAGGGUGUCCCGAUCUUUCGGUGAGAUGAUAACUAUCGGUUUUGUGGAGAUGACUUUGACGAUCUGACUACAAGCGUGCACAACGCCGCGCCUUAGCAAUCGGUAAACC